This is a non-coding RNA of Cinara cedri, 202 nucleotides long. The record is from the annotation of a GenBank genome assembly. Lineage: Eukaryota; Metazoa; Arthropoda; Insecta; Hemiptera; Aphididae.
CUUGUACUUCCCGUCGAUACCGCCGUGCCGUUUCGGUAUUCAAACGAGAACGGUUGUACAUUAUUAUUUGUUAUUGUAAGUAUAUUAUAUAGUGUACGUGAUUUCGGAAACGAGAUAAAAUUGUACGAAAGAAUAUGCAGGUAUCUACGUGGUUUCGCCUGUACGCGCUAAUGGAAUUUUCGGCUCGAAUAGUGGAUAUCGU